GUACUGCUGAAGAGUCCCAAACUACUACGAAACAGCUGUCCAGUAC
RNAcentral lists this non-coding RNA (46 nucleotides) under Trichobilharzia regenti. Lineage: Eukaryota; Metazoa; Platyhelminthes; Trematoda; Strigeidida; Schistosomatidae. The record is from RNAcentral.